This 434-nucleotide ribosomal RNA is filed under the name uncultured bacterium. Its description in RNAcentral is "partial 16S ribosomal RNA". It matches the Rfam family "Bacterial small subunit ribosomal RNA", at positions 29 to 507 of the family's 1533-position model. The record is from RNAcentral.
AGCGAACGCUGGCGGCAGGCCUAACACAUGCCAGUCGAACGAACCUUUCGGGGUUAGUGGCGGACGGGUGAGUAACACGUGGGAACGUGCCUUUAGGUUCGGAAUAACUCAGGGAAACUUGUGCUAAUACCGAAUGUGCCCUUCGGGGGAAAGAUUAAUCGCCUUUAGAGCGGCCCGCGUCUGAUUAGCUAGUUGGUUGAGGUAAUGGCUCACCAAGGCGACGAUCAGUAGCUGGUCUGAGAGGAUGAUCAGCCACAUUGGGACUGAGACACGGCCCAAACUCCUACGGGAGGCAGCAGUGGGGAAUCUUGCGCAAUGGGCGAAAGCCUGACGCAGCCAUGCCGCGUGAAUGAUGAAGGUCUUAGGAUUGUAAAAUUCUUUCACCGGGGACGAUAAUGACAGUACCCGGAGAAGAAGCCCCGGCUAACUUCGUG